This 562-nucleotide ribosomal RNA is filed under the name uncultured Roseateles sp. RNAcentral describes it as "bacterial SSU rRNA". It matches the Rfam family "Bacterial small subunit ribosomal RNA", at positions 115 to 673 of the family's 1533-position model. Lineage: Bacteria; Pseudomonadati; Pseudomonadota; Betaproteobacteria; Burkholderiales; Sphaerotilaceae. The record is from RNAcentral.
GUAUCGGAACGUGCCCAGUCGUGGGGGAUAACUGCUCGAAAGAGCAGCUAAUACCGCAUACGACCUGAGGGUGAAAGCGGGGGAUCGCAAGACCUCGCGCGAUUGGAGCGGCCGAUAUCAGAUUAGGUAGUUGGUGAGGUAAAGGCUCACCAAGCCGACGAUCUGUAGCUGGUCUGAGAGGACGACCAGCCACACUGGGACUGAGACACGGCCCAGACUCCUACGGGAGGCAGCAGUGGGGAAUUUUGGACAAUGGGCGCAAGCCUGAUCCAGCCAUGCCGCGUGCGGGAAGAAGGCCUUCGGGUUGUAAACCGCUUUUGUCAGGGAAGAAAAGGUUCUGGCUAAUACCUGGGACUCAUGACGGUACCUGAAGAAUAAGCACCGGCUAACUACGUGCCAGCAGCCGCGGUAAUACGUAGGGUGCAAGCGUUAAUCGGAAUUACUGGGCGUAAAGCGUGCGCAGGCGGUUAUGCAAGACAGAGGUGAAAUCCCCGGGCUCAACCUGGGAACUGCCUUUGUGACUGCAUGGCUAGAGUACGGUAGAGGGGGAUGGAAUUCCGCG